CCUACGGGAGGCAGCAGUGGGGAAUUUUGGACAAUGGGGGCAACCCUGAUCCAGCAAUGCCGCGUGAGUGAAGAAGGCCUUCGGGUUGUAGAGCUCUUUUGUCAGGGAAGAAACAGCAGCUCUAACACAGUCUGCGAAUGACGGUACCUGAAGAAUAAGCACCGGCUAACUACGUGCCAGCAGCCGCGGUAAUACGUAGGGUGCGAGCGUUAAUCGGAAUUACUGGGCGUAAAGCGUGCGCAGGCGGUUAUACAAGACAGGCGUGAAAUCCCCGGGCUUAACCUGGGAAUGGCGUCAGUGACUGUAUAGCUAGAGUGUGUCAGAGGGGGGUGGAAUUCCACGUGUAGCAGUGAAAUGCGUAGAUAUGUGGAGGAACACCAAUGGCGAAGGCAGCCCCCUGGGAUAACACUGACGCUCAUGCACGAAAGCGUGGGGAGCAAACAGGAUUAGAUACCCUGGUAGUCCACGCCCUAAACGAUGCUGACUAGUUGUUGGGAAUUUACAUUCUCAGUAACGUAGCUAACGCGUGAAGUCAGCCGCCUGGGGAGUACGGUCGCAAGAUUAAAACUCAAAGGAAUUGACGG
RNAcentral lists this ribosomal RNA (584 nucleotides) under uncultured beta proteobacterium. Its description in RNAcentral is "bacterial SSU rRNA". It matches the Rfam family "Bacterial small subunit ribosomal RNA", at positions 338 to 916 of the family's 1533-position model. Lineage: Bacteria; Pseudomonadati; Pseudomonadota; Betaproteobacteria. The record is from RNAcentral.